Molecule: unclassified non-coding RNA, 572 nt
Filed under: Hevea brasiliensis (rubber tree)
Lineage: Eukaryota; Viridiplantae; Streptophyta; Magnoliopsida; Malpighiales; Euphorbiaceae
Source: RNAcentral
AGAAUUACCUCAGGAUGGAGAUGAACUGCCACAAGUUGGUGAUAACCAAGAAGAUAUCCAAGUCAUUAAUGCUAAAAUUUGGAAGUGGUCAAAUGGAAAAGAAGGGAGCAUCCGUUCCCUCCUCUCAACUUUACAAUAUGUACUUUGGCCUGAAAGCGGGUGGAAGCCUGUGCCUCUUGUUGAUAUAAUUGAAGGAAAUGCAGUGAAAAGAUCAUACCAGAAGGCCUUACUCAGUCUACACCCAGAUAAACUACAGCAGAAAGGUGCUGCAUCACAUCAAAAAUACAUAGCAGAAAAAGUUUUCGAUAUUCUGCAGGAAGCAUGGACCCAUUUCAACUCACUCGAUUCAGUGUGACCAAUGAAGUCUCAACUCUCAAACUACGAGAAUUUAUUCAGUGCAACCGUUAUAUAUGCAAUAAAUACAUCUAAUCAUUGAUUAUGAUAGAUCUACAUGAACCCGUCAUGAUCAAUGGUCACAAUAUAUCGAUUACAUACUACAAAUAAGUGUUAACAUAUUAUAUUGAUAGGCUUGUGAGAAAACUACAUUUUGGACUCUGUGUAGGUAUUUUGUG